AGUGAACGCUGGCGGUAGGCCUAACACAUGCAAGUCGAACGGCAGCACAGUAAGAGCUUGCUCUUACGGGUGGCGAGUGGCGGACGGGUGAGGCAUACAUCGGAAUCUACUUUUUCGUGGGGGAUAACGUAGGGAAACUUACGCUACUACCGCAUACGACCUACGGGUGAAAGCAGGGGAUCUUCGGACCUUGCGCGAUUGAAUGAGCCGAUGUCGGAUUAGCUAGUUGGCGGGGUAAAGGCCCACCAAGGCGACGAUCCGUAGCUGGUCUGAGAGGAUGAUCAGCCACACUGGAACUGAGACACGGUCCAGACUCCUACGGGAGGCAGCAGUGGGGAAUAUUGGACAAUGGGCGCAAGCCUGAUCCAGCCAUGCCGCGUGAGUGAAGAAGGCCUUCGGGUUGUAAAGCCCUUUUGUUGGGAAAGAAAAGCAGCAGGUGAAUACCCCGCUGUUCUGACGGUACCCAAAGAGUAAGCACCGGCUAACUUCGUG
RNAcentral lists this ribosomal RNA (492 nucleotides) under uncultured bacterium. RNAcentral's name for it is "partial 16S ribosomal RNA". It matches the Rfam family "Bacterial small subunit ribosomal RNA", at positions 29 to 507 of the family's 1533-position model. The record is from RNAcentral.